AGCUUGCGACAAGUAGGGCGGGACACGAGAAAUCCUGUCUGAAGAUGGGGGGACCAUCCUCCAAGGCUAAAUACUCGUGAUCGACCGAUAGUGAACCAGUACUGUGAAGGAAAGGUAAAAAGAACCCCGGGAGGGGAGUGAAAUAGAUCCUGAAACCGCAUACAUACAAACAGUAGGAGCCCGCAAGGGUGACUGCGUACCUUUUGCAUAAUGGGUCAGCGACUUACGUUCAAUGGCGAGCUUAACCGGAUAGGGGAGGCGCAGCGAAAGCGAGUCCGAACAGGGCGAAAUUCAGUCGUUGGGCGUAGACCCGAAACCAGAUGAUCUAUCCAUGGUCAGGCUGAAGGUGUGGUAACACACACUGGAGGGCCGAACCGACUAGUGUUGCAAAAUUAGCGGAUGAACUGUGGAUAGGGGUGAAAGGCUAAACAAAUCUGGAGAUAGCUGGUUCUCCCCGAAAACUAUUGAGGUAGUGCCUCGUGUAGGGCUCCAGGGGGUAGAGCACUGUUAUGGCUAGGGGGACAUGGCGUCUUACCAAACCAUGGCAAACUCCGAAUACUUGGAAGUCAGAGCACGGGAGACAGAGCACCGGGUGCUAACGUCCGGACUCAAAAGGGAAACAACCCAGACCGCCGGCUAAGGUCCCUAAUAUUGACUAAGUGGAAAACGAAGUGGGAAGGCUAAGACAGUCAGGAAGUUGGCUUAGAAGCAGCCAUCCUUCAAAGAAAGCGUAAUAGCUCACUGAUCGAGUCUUCCUGCGCGGAAGAUGUAACGGGGCUAAGUCAAUAACCGAAGCCGCGGAUUCGACCGCAAGGUUGAGUGGUAGGGGAGCGUUCCGUAAGCCUGAGAAGGCGGACCCGCGAGGGCUGCUGGAGGUAUCGGAAGUGCGAAUGCUGACAUGAGUAACGUUAAAGCGGGUGAAAAGCCCGCUCGCCGCAAGCCCAAGGUUUCCUGCUCUACGUUCAUCGGAGCAGGGUGAGUCGGCCCCUAAGGCGAGGCUGAGAAGCAUAGCUGAUGGGAACCAGGUUAAUAGUCCUGGACCGAUUGCAGGUGCGAAGGAGGGACGGAGUGCUGAAGGUCAUCCGGGUGUUGGAUAUCCCGGUUUGCGAGCGUAGGAAGCCGGCAGGCAAAUCCGCCGGCGAAUUUCCGAGGCGAAGCAUCGAGGCUGGUUUCAGCUGAAGUGACUGAAUGGACUUCCAGGAAAAGCUUCUAAGCAUCAGCCUGCAAUUGACCGUACCGCAAACCGACACUGGUGGGCGAGCUGAAUAUGCUCAGGCGCUUGAGAGAACUCAGGAGAAGGAACUCGGCAAAUUGACACCGUAACUUCGGGAUAAGGUGUGCCUUUGUAGUGUGAAGGAAGAAACAUCCGGAGCAUGAAGAGGUCUCAGAGAAUUGGUGGCUGCAACUGUUUACUAAAAACACAGCACUCUGCAAAGACGAAAGUCGACGUAUAGGGUGUGAUGCCUGCCCGGUGCUGGAAGAUUAAUUGAUGGGCUGCAAGGUCCUGAUCGAAGUCCCAGUAAACGGCGGCCGUAACUAUAACGGUCCUAAGGUAGCGAAAUUCCUUGUCGGGCAAGUUCCGACCUGCACGAAUGGCAUAAUGAUGGCCACACUGUCUCCUCCUGAGACUCAGUGAAGUUGAAGUGUUUGUGAUGAUGCAAUCUCCCCGCGGCUAGACGGAAAGACCCCAUGAACCUUUACUGCAGCUUUGCAUUGGACUUUGAACCGAUCUGUGUAGGAUAGGUGGGAGGCAGUGAAGUUAGGACGCCAGUCUUAACGGAGCCAUCCUUGAAAUACCACCCUGAUUUGUUUGAGGUUCUAACCUGGGAGCGU
Molecule: ribosomal RNA, 1833 nt
Filed under: Sutterella seckii
Lineage: Bacteria; Pseudomonadati; Pseudomonadota; Betaproteobacteria; Burkholderiales; Sutterellaceae
Description: partial 23S ribosomal RNA
Rfam family: Bacterial large subunit ribosomal RNA
Source: RNAcentral